This 355-nucleotide long non-coding RNA is filed under the name Setaria viridis. Its description in RNAcentral is "long non-coding RNA (SVIR_LNC001217)". Lineage: Eukaryota; Viridiplantae; Streptophyta; Magnoliopsida; Poales; Poaceae. The record is from RNAcentral.
AGAGUCAUGACACUUUCUUAUAACUUUGGUCUUUCCCUCAUGUUAUAUUUUGUUUCCUUUUCACAAGUAUAGUGUUUAUAGCUCCUGAUAGAAACAUGGUAAUAGUGCUUGCCGUAGGAGCAGGAGGCACUGGGAUCACUCAAGGUGCACCGAUUUAAGCAAAAUCUAAAAAACUUGGGAACCUGCCGGCAUCUCGGACAAUUGCAGCUAGGUUAUUCGCGAGAUCGUGGAGACGUACACAUCUGUUGAGCCUGGAUGCUAAACCGAGUCUGACGCUAGUUCAUCAAAGUUUUAUCGCCUCUGAUCGUGCGCGAGUUUUCUAUGUGGCAACAAGAAUCAGAAGUAGUAGUGUAGU